UUCACGGAGAGUUUGAUCCUGGCUCAGGACGAACGCUGGCGGCGCGCUUAACACAUGCAAGUCGAGCGAGAACCAGGCCUUCGGGCCUGGGGACAGCGGCGAACGGGUGAGUAACACGUGGGUAAUCAACCCUCGACACUGGGAUAGCCCGGGGAAACCCGGAUUAAUACCGGAUGGCCCUUUGGAUCCUUGGAUCUGAAGGAAAAGGUAGCUUCGGCCUCCGGUCGAGGACGAGCCCGCGGCGGAUUAGCUUGUUGGUGGGGUAACGGCUCACCAAGGCGACGAUCCGUAGCUGGUCUGAGAGGACGAUCAGCCACACUGGGACUGAGACACGGCCCAGACUCCUACGGGAGGCAGCAGUGGGGAAUCUUGCGCUAAUGCGGGAAACCGUGACGCAGCGACGCCGCGUGAGGGAAGAAGGCCUUCGGGUUGUAAACCUCUUUCAGGAGGGACGAAGCUACUCGGGUUAAUAGCCCAGAGGGUGACGGUACCUCCAGAAGAAGCCCCGGCUAACUACGUGCCAGCAGCCGCGGUAAUACGUAGGGGGCAAGCGUUGUCCGGAUUUAUUGGGCGUAAAGAGCGUGUAGGCGGCUAGGUAGGUCCGUUGUGAAAACUCGAG
This 619-nucleotide ribosomal RNA is filed under the name Actinomycetes bacterium. RNAcentral's name for it is "bacterial SSU rRNA". It matches the Rfam family "Bacterial small subunit ribosomal RNA", at positions 1 to 606 of the family's 1533-position model. The record is from RNAcentral. Lineage: Bacteria; Bacillati; Actinomycetota; Actinomycetes.